RNAcentral lists this ribosomal RNA (333 nucleotides) under uncultured Nitrospirota bacterium. Its description in RNAcentral is "bacterial SSU rRNA". It matches the Rfam family "Bacterial small subunit ribosomal RNA", at positions 29 to 351 of the family's 1533-position model. The record is from RNAcentral. Lineage: Bacteria; Pseudomonadati; Nitrospirota.
AACGAACGCUGGCGGCGUGCCUAACACAUGCAAGUCGAACGGAGUUAUAGUUGUAGCAAUACAGGUAUAGCUUAGUGGCGGACGGGUGAGUAACACGUAGGUAACCUACCCUUAGGCGGGGGGACAACUCAGGGAAACUUGAGCUAAUACCGCAUAAAUCCACGGGCUGGGAUGCUUGUGGGGAAAGUGGCAACACACCUAAGGAUGGGCCUGCGGCCUAUCAGGUAGUUGGUGGGGUAAGAGCCCACCAAGCCGAAGACGGGGUAGCCGGGGCUGAGAGGUUGAACGGCCACACUGGAACUGAGACACGGUCCAGACUCCUACGGGAGGCUG